RNAcentral lists this ribosomal RNA (374 nucleotides) under uncultured bacterium. RNAcentral describes it as "bacterial SSU rRNA". It matches the Rfam family "Bacterial small subunit ribosomal RNA", at positions 524 to 898 of the family's 1533-position model. The record is from RNAcentral.
GACGGAGGGUGCUAGCGUUGUUCGGAAUCACUGGGCGUAAAGGGCGCGUAGGCGGCCGCCCGCGUCGGACGUGAAAGCCCGGGGCUCAACCCCGGAACGGCGUCCGAUACGGGGCGGCUCGAGGCCGGGAGAGGGGGGUGGAAUACCCAGUGUAGAGGUGAAAUUCGUAGAUAUUGGGUGGAACACCGGUGGCGAAAGCGGCCCCCUGGCCCGGUCCUGACGCUGAGGCGCGAAAGCGUGGGGAGCAAACAGGAUUAGAUACCCUGGUAGUCCACGCCCUAAACGAUGUGGGCUGGGCGUCGGGGGGCUCGCCCCCCGGUGCCGGAGCUAACGCGGUAAGCCCACCGCCUGGGGAGUACGGCCGCAAGGUUAAA